UUUGUUUUAGUAUAAAAAAUAUAUAAGCUUUUCGUGCUUAUGCUAGCUAUAUUAGCUAAACAAAU
RNAcentral lists this transfer RNA (65 nucleotides) under Nippotaenia mogurndae. RNAcentral describes it as "tRNA-Glu". Lineage: Eukaryota; Metazoa; Platyhelminthes; Cestoda; Nippotaeniidea; Nippotaeniidae. The record is from RNAcentral.